ACGGGCACAUCACUUUGAAACACCGGUUUUAGAACGAUCACCGAAGUUAAGCAACGUCGAGCCUGGUUAGUACCUAGAUGGGUGACCGCUUGGUAAUACCUGGUGUUGUAC
This 111-nucleotide ribosomal RNA is filed under the name Acanthosepion pharaonis. The record is from RNAcentral. Lineage: Eukaryota; Metazoa; Mollusca; Cephalopoda; Sepiida; Sepiidae.